This 872-nucleotide ribosomal RNA is filed under the name Salmonella enterica. RNAcentral describes it as "partial 23S ribosomal RNA". It matches the Rfam family "Bacterial large subunit ribosomal RNA", at positions 2059 to 2925 of the family's 2925-position model. The record is from RNAcentral. Lineage: Bacteria; Pseudomonadati; Pseudomonadota; Gammaproteobacteria; Enterobacterales; Enterobacteriaceae.
AUGCAGUGUACCCGCGGCAAGACGGAAAGACCCCGUGAACCUUUACUAUAGCUUGACACUGAACAUUGAGCCUUGAUGUGUAGGAUAGGUGGGAGGCUUUGAAGUGUGGACGCCAGUCUGCAUGGAGCCGGCCUUGAAAUACCACCCUUUAAUGUUUGAUGUUCUAACGUGGACCCGUGAUCCGGGUUGCGGACAGUGUCUGGUGGGUAGUUUGACUGGGGCGGUCUCCUCCUAAAGAGUAACGGAGGAGCACGAAGGUUGGCUAAUCCUGGUCGGACAUCAGGAGGUUAGUGCAAUGGCAUAAGCCAGCUUGACUGCGAGCGUGACGGCGCGAGCAGGUGCGAAAGCAGGUCAUAGUGAUCCGGUGGUUCUGAAUGGAAGGGCCAUCGCUCAACGGAUAAAAGGUACUCCGGGGAUAACAGGCUGAUACCGCCCAAGAGUUCAUAUCGACGGCGGUGUUUGGCACCUCGAUGUCGGCUCAUCACAUCCUGGGGCUGAAGUAGGUCCCAAGGGUAUGGCUGUUCGCCAUUUAAAGUGGUACGCGAGCUGGGUUUAGAACGUCGUGAGACAGUUCGGUCCCUAUCUGCCGUGGGCGCUGGAGAACUGAGGGGGGCUGCUCCUAGUACGAGAGGACCGGAGUGGACGCAUCACUGGUGUUCGGGUUGUCAUGCCAAUGGCACUGCCCGGUAGCUAAAUGCGGAAGAGAUAAGUGCUGAAAGCAUCUAAGCACGAAACUUGCCCCGAGAUGAGUUCUCCCUGAGACUUUAGGUCUCCUGAAGGAACGUUGAAGACGACGACGUUGAUAGGCCGGGUGUGUAAGCGCAGCGAUGCGUUGAGCUAACCGGUACUAAUGAACCGUGAGGCUUAACCUU